RNAcentral lists this ribosomal RNA (558 nucleotides) under Oenococcus oeni. RNAcentral's name for it is "bacterial SSU rRNA". It matches the Rfam family "Bacterial small subunit ribosomal RNA", at positions 141 to 686 of the family's 1533-position model. Lineage: Bacteria; Bacillati; Bacillota; Bacilli; Lactobacillales; Lactobacillaceae. The record is from RNAcentral.
GGAUAACAUUUGGAAACAGAUGCUAAUACCGCGUAACAACUAAUCACACAUGUGAUCUGUUUCAAAGUUCCUUUUGUAGCGCUAGGGGAUGGUCUUGCGACGUAUUAGUUUGUUGGUCGGGUAGAAGCCUACCAASGCAAUGAUGCGUAGCCGAGUUGAGAGACUGGCCGGCCACAUUGGGACUGAGACACUGCCCAAACUCCUACGGGAGGCUGCAGUAGGGAAUUUUCCGCAAUGCACGAAAGUGUGACGGAGCGACGCCGCGUGUGUGAUGAAGGCUUUCGGGUCGUAAAGCACUGUUGUAAGGGAAGAAUAACUGAAUUCAGAGAAAGUUUUCAGCUUGACGGUACCUUACCAGAAAGGGAUGGCUAAAUACGUGCCAGCAGCCGCGGUAAUACGUAUGUCCCGAGCGUUAUCCGGAUUUAUUGGGCGUAAAGCGAGCGCAGACGGUUUAUUAAGUCUGAUGUGAAAUCCCGAGGCCCAACCUCGGAACUGCAUUGGAAACUGAUUUACUUGAGUGCGAUAGAGGCAAGUGGAACUCCAUGUGUAGCGGUGAAA